UACGUAGGGGGCAAGCGUUAUCCGGAAUCACUGGGUGUAAAGGGUGCGUAGGCGGUAAUGCAAGUCAGAUGUGAAACCCCUUGGCUCAACCAAGGGCUUGCAUUUGAAACUGUGUUACUAGAGUGCAGGAGAGGAAAGCGGAAUUCCUAGUGUAGCGGUGAAAUGCGUAGAUAUUAGGAAGAACACCAGUGGCGAAGGCGGCUUUCUGGACUGUAACAGACGCUGAGGCACGAAAGCGUGGGUAGCGAACAGG
Molecule: ribosomal RNA, 253 nt
Filed under: uncultured bacterium
Lineage: Bacteria
Description: partial 16S ribosomal RNA
Rfam family: Bacterial small subunit ribosomal RNA
Source: RNAcentral